AAGCAUAUCAAUAAGCGGAGGAAAAGAAACUAACAAGGAUUCCCCUAGUAACUGCGAGUGAAGAGGGAAAAGCUCAAAUUUUGAAUCUGGCGGUCUUUAGGUCGUCCGAGUUGUAAUCUAGAGAAGCGUCUUCCGCGCUGGACCGUGUAUAAGUUUCCUGGAAUGGAACGUCGUAGAGGGUGAGAAUCCCGUCUUUGACACGGACUACCAGGGCUAUGUGAUGCGCUCUCGACGAGUCGAGUUGUUUGGGAAUGCAGCUCAAAUAGGGUGGUAAAUUCCAUCUAAAGCUAAAUACAGGCGAGAGACCGAUAGCGAACAAGUACCGUGAGGGAAAGAUGAAAAGAACUUUGGAAAGAGAGUUAAACAGUACGUGAAAUUGCUGAAAGGGAAACGCUUGAUGUCAGUCGCGUCGGCCGGGGAUCAGCCUUGCUUAAUCGCUCGGCGUACUUCCUGGCAGACGGGUCAGCAUCAGUUUCGAUCGUCGGAAAAUGGCUAGGGGAAUGUGGCACUCUUUCGGGAGUGUGUUAUAGACUCUGGUCGAAUGCGAUGGUUGGGACUGAGGAACUCAGCACGACCUUAGGGUUCGGGACUUCGGUCCACGUUUGCGUGCUUAGGAUGCUGGCAUAAUGGCCUUAAGCGACCCGUCUUGA
RNAcentral lists this ribosomal RNA (650 nucleotides) under uncultured fungus. RNAcentral's name for it is "eukaryotic LSU rRNA". It matches the Rfam family "Eukaryotic large subunit ribosomal RNA", at positions 36 to 657 of the family's 3401-position model. The record is from RNAcentral. Lineage: Eukaryota; Fungi.